RNAcentral lists this ribosomal RNA (253 nucleotides) under uncultured bacterium. RNAcentral describes it as "partial 16S ribosomal RNA". It matches the Rfam family "Bacterial small subunit ribosomal RNA", at positions 524 to 776 of the family's 1533-position model. The record is from RNAcentral.
UACGAAGGGAGCUAGCGUUGUUCGGCAUUACUGGGCGUAAAGCGCACGUAGGCGGACUUGUAAGUUGGGGGUGAAAUCCCGGGGCUCAACCCCGGAAUUGCCUUCAAGACUGCAAGUCUGGAGGUCAGGAGAGGCGAGCGGAAUUCCGAGUGUAGAGGUGAAAUUCGUAGAUAUUCGGAGGAACACCAGUGGCGAAGGCGGCUCGCGGGACUGAUACUGACGCGGAGGUGCGAAAGCGUGGGGAGCAAACAGG